Molecule: ribosomal RNA, 312 nt
Filed under: uncultured bacterium
Lineage: Bacteria
Description: bacterial SSU rRNA
Rfam family: Bacterial small subunit ribosomal RNA
Source: RNAcentral
AACGAACGCUGGCGGCAUGCCUAACACAUGCAAGUCGAACGAAGUCUUCGGACUUAGUGGCGCACGGGUGCGUAACGCGUGGGAAUCUGCCCUUGGGUGCGGAAUAACUUCUCGAAAGGGAUGCUAAUACCGCAUAAUGUCGUAAGACCAAAGAUUUAUCGCCCAAGGAUGAGCCCGCGUAAGAUUAGCUAGUUGGUGGGGUAAAAAGCCUACCAAGGCGACGAUCUUUAGCUGGUCUGAGGGGAUGAUCAGCCACACUGGGACUGAGACACGGCCCAGACUCCUACGGGAGGCAGCAGUGGGGAAUAUUGG